UACAUUUGCGCUGCUUUUGGUUCCUGAUGUAAAAUCGGGAUUAAAAGGGAAUACAGUGUAAAUCUGUAACUGUCCCGCAGCUGUAAGCUCUAUAACGUUUUUCAAUCCAUAAGUCACUGUUCCGCUUAUCAGGCACGGGAAGACAGAAAAACGGGAGUAAGUCAGAAGACCUGCCUUUAGCAUUUAAUUUCA
Molecule: non-coding RNA, 192 nt
Filed under: Pedobacter ginsenosidimutans
Lineage: Bacteria; Pseudomonadati; Bacteroidota; Sphingobacteriia; Sphingobacteriales; Sphingobacteriaceae
Source: RNAcentral